GUCCACAGCCAUGCUACCCUGAACAAGCCCGAUCCCGUCUGAUCUCGGAAGGUAAGCAGCACUGGGCCUGGUUAGUACUUGGAUGGGAGACCACCUAGGAAGAUCAGGUGCUGUAGGUA
Molecule: ribosomal RNA, 119 nt
Filed under: Pteropus alecto (black flying fox)
Lineage: Eukaryota; Metazoa; Chordata; Mammalia; Chiroptera; Pteropodidae
Source: RNAcentral